RNAcentral lists this unclassified non-coding RNA (200 nucleotides) under uncultured Thelephoraceae. RNAcentral describes it as "sequence contains ITS1". Lineage: Eukaryota; Fungi; Basidiomycota; Agaricomycetes; Thelephorales; Thelephoraceae. The record is from RNAcentral.
CCGAACUGUCAAACACGGGUUGUUGCUGGUCCUCGAAAGGGGGCAUGUGCACGCUCUGUUUACACAUCCACUUCACACCUGUGCACCCUCUGUAGUUCUACGGUCUGGGGGACCCCGUCCUCUGUCUGUGGCUCUACGUCUUUACACACACACUGUAUGAUGUCUUGUGGAAUGCUUUUUGCGUUUAACGCGAUACAAUA